AUUGAACGCUGGCGGCAUGCCUUACACAUGCAAGUCGAACGGCAGCACGGGAGCAAUCCUGGUGGCGAGUGGCGAACGGGUGAGUAAUAUAUCGGAACGUGCCCAGUCGUGGGGGAUAACGCAGCGAAAGCUGUGCUAAUACCGCAUACGAUCUGUGGAUGAAAGCGGGGGACUCGCAAGGGCCUCGCGCGAUUGGAGCGGCCGAUAUCAGAUUAGCUAGUUGGUGGGGUAAAGGCCCACCAAGGCGACGAUCUGUAGCUGGUCUGAGAGGACGACCAGCCACACUGGGACUGCGACACGGUCCAGACUCCUACGGGAGGCAGCAGUGGGGAAUUUGGGACAAUGGGCGCAAGCCUGAUCCAGCAAUGCCGCGUGCAGGAUGAAGGCCUUCGGGUUGUAAACUGCUUUUGUACGGAGCGAAACGGUCUGCCCUAAUACGGUGGGCUAAUGACGGUACCGUAAGAAUAAGCACCGGCUAACUACGUGCCAGCAGCCGCCGUAA
This 502-nucleotide ribosomal RNA is filed under the name uncultured bacterium. RNAcentral describes it as "partial 16S ribosomal RNA". It matches the Rfam family "Bacterial small subunit ribosomal RNA", at positions 29 to 523 of the family's 1533-position model. The record is from RNAcentral.